AGAGUUUGAUCCUGGCUCAGGAUGAACGCUGGCGGCGUGCCUAACACAUGCAAGUCGAACGAAGCUCCCGGACGGAGUAUUUCCGUGUGAAGACCAGGUGACUGAGUGGCGGACGGGAGAGUAACAGCGUGGACAACCUGCCCUGUACUGGGGGAUAACGACCCGAAACGGCUGCUGAUACCGCAUAUGCGCACCGUGCCGCAUGGCACAAGGCGGAAAGCCUAAAUCUUGUCUAGUACGGUACACGAUGGGUCCACGUCUGAUUAGGUAGUUGGCCGGGUAACGGCCCACCAAGCCCACGAUCAGUAGCCGGCUUGAGAGGGCGGACGGCCACACUGGGACUGAGACACGCCCCAGACUCCUGCGGGAGGCAGCAGUGGGGAAUAUUGCACAAUGGGGGGAACCCUGAUGCAGCGACGCCGCGUGAAGGAAGAAGUAUCUCGGUAUGUAAACUUCUAUCAGCAGGGAAGAAAGAAGCCGGUCCCUGAUUAAGAAGCCCCGGCUAAUUACGUGCCAGCAGCCGCGGUAAUAGGUAGGGGGCGAGCGUUAUCCGGAUUUACUGGGUGUAAAGGGAGCGUAGACGCCCAUGCAAUCUCGGUGUGAAUGGUGCGGGCACAACUCGCAGACUGCACUGAGAACUGUAUGGCUGGAGUGCCGGAGGGGCAGGCGGAAUUCUUGGUGUAGCGGUGAAAUGCGUAGAUAUCAGGAGGAACACCGGUGGGGAAGGCGGCCUGCUGGACGGCGACUGACGUUGAGGCUCGAAAGCGUGGGGAGCGACCAGAAAGAGAUACCCUGGUAGUCCACCCCGUAAACGAUGUAUUCCAGGUGUCGGGCCUCAAGGCUGUCCGGUCCGGUAGCAACGCAUUAAAGUAUCCCACCUGGGGGUACGUUGGCAGGAAUGAAAUCAAGGGAUUGACGGGACCCGCACAAGCGGUGGAGCAUGUGGUUUAAUCCGAAGCAACGCGAAGAACCUUACCAAGCCUUGACAUCCCGCUGACAGGGGCGCAACGGCCCCCUCCCUUCGGGGCAGCGGUGCCAGGUGGUGCAUGGUUGUCGUCAGCUCGUGUCGUGAGAUGUUGGGUUAAGUCCCGCAACGAGCGCAACCCCUGCUUCCAGUAGCCAGCACGUAGAGGUGGGCACUCUGGAGGGACUGCCGGGGAUGACCCGGAGGAAGGCGGGGAUGACGUCAAAUCAUCAUGCCCCUUAUGGUCUGGGCUACACACGUGCUACAAUGGCGCACACAAAGGGAGGCGAAGGGGUGACCCGGAGCAAACCCCAGAAAAGGCGCCCCAGUUCGGAUCGCAGCCUGCAACCCGGCUGCGUGAAGCUGGAAUCGCUAGUAAUCGCGGAUCAGAAUGCCGCGGUGAAUACGUUCCCGGGUCUUGCACACACCGCCCGUCA
Molecule: ribosomal RNA, 1401 nt
Filed under: uncultured bacterium
Lineage: Bacteria
Description: bacterial SSU rRNA
Rfam family: Bacterial small subunit ribosomal RNA
Source: RNAcentral